CAAACACCGCCUUAAUCACAGAAAUCCCUCAUAUGGUUCUCUAUAAAAAGAGAGUAGAGUUGUCUUCCUCUCCUCCAUGUACACAGACCCUUGGCUCAGUAUUAGGAGAAGUAAGCAAAAAAGAGUGGAAGAAUGAAGACUGUAGUAGUGGUUGCUCUAGUCCUGAUGAUGGUUGGAUCCUCCUUUGCUGGGAACAAGAAAGAUUCGGUUGUUGAUGAAGCUGAGAAAUGGAGCAGCCGCCACCUUGUCGAAAACCAGCAGGAAAUUUUUAAUAAGAAUCACGACAACGAUAAUUGCUGCGACCACCAUUCCAUUCCCAGGAAUAAAUAUGGUGGCGGUGGUGUUGAUAAUAAUGGAGGUGGCAAAGUUUAAUAUAUCUUAAUCAUAAUUAAGCUCUAUAAUAAAGUUUUUCUUCUUCUUCUUCUUCCUUGGAAUGAUAAGGCUUGCUAGUUCUUGCGAGCUCUAAUAUCCAUGGCUGAGCAGCAGCCAUCUAUAGUUUCAGCACUAGAAUAAUGUUUGGGUACUUAAUUCAAAGCUCAAGCUUUAGUCUGUGUAUAUAUUUGAUGUAAUCAUCUCAUAUGAAUAAAUAAAAUCUUAAUUAAUGUUUAAUAUUAA
This is a long non-coding RNA of Manihot esculenta (cassava), 615 nucleotides long. RefSeq lists it as uncharacterized. NCBI's taxonomy places the organism in Eukaryota, Viridiplantae, Streptophyta, Magnoliopsida, Malpighiales, Euphorbiaceae. The record is from RefSeq and is a predicted model, not a curated record. The transcript has 2 exons.